UGACUGGGUCAUGGCGGAAAGAAUCCACGCGGUGGAGAAAGAAAGUGGAGAGUGGGUCACAGUGGAGCAACGAAACAGCGACUACCUACGGCGGUGCAGUAGCAGUCUUGAUGAUGGACAGCACGACGAACAACGCGCUAUACUACCCAGUGGUCAUUCACAAAAACCAAUGGGUAAUAGUAUUAUCCAGCAGACAACAACGGAUUGGCAGAAAAGUGAAGCAGAGGAGACUAUAGGGGUAAACAUUGUAGAACGGGUGGCAAGAGGGGAGUGAGACCAACCAGGAUGAUGAGAGUGGUGAAGAGGGUAGCUUCGUGGGAUCUCCGACAGCGGAGAGAACCCAAGUGGUGGAGAAAGAAGUUGGUGAGUGGGUCAUGGUGGAAAGAACCCAGGUGGCGGAGAAAGAAAGUGGAGAGUGGGUCACGGCGGAGCAGCCAAACAGCGAAGACCCACAGCGGUGCAGUAGCGGUCUCGAUGAUGGACAUAACGACGAACAGCGCGCUACACUACCCAGUGGUCAUUCACACAGACCUAUGGGAAACUCGGUCUAGUCGGAUACACUCAAUUUCCCAGUUGUACUCUCUCACUUUCC
This 592-nucleotide long non-coding RNA is filed under the name Glycine max (soybean). RNAcentral describes it as "long non-coding RNA (GMAX_LNC004746)". Lineage: Eukaryota; Viridiplantae; Streptophyta; Magnoliopsida; Fabales; Fabaceae. The record is from RNAcentral.